CUGGCGGCGUGCUGUAACACAUGCAAGUCGAAACGCGAAAGUUUUCUUCGGAAGACGAGUAGAGUGGCGCACGGGUGAGUAACGCGUAAGUAAACCUGCCCUGGUAUCCGGGAUAACCCACCGAAAGGUGUGCUAAUACGGGAUACGCUGAUUUAUCAGGAAAGGUGGCCUCUUCAUGAAAGCUACUGUACCAGGAGGAGCUUGCGUACCAUUAGCUAGUUGGUAGGGUAAUGGCCUACCAAGGCGACGAUGGUUAGCGGGUCUGAGAGGAUGAUCCGCCACACUGGAACUGAAACACGGACCAGACAGCCUACGGGAGGCAGCAGUGAGGAAUAUUGCGCAAUGGGGGAAACCCUGACGCAGCGACGCCGCGUGGAUGAUGAAGGCCUUCGGGUCGUAAAAUCCUGUCAGAUGGAAAGAAAUGUAGUAUGCCUAAUACGUGUACUAUUUGACGGUACCAUCAAAGGAAGCACCGGCUAACUCCGUGCCAGCAGCCGCGGUAAUACGGAGGGUGCAAGCGUUGUUCGGAAUUACUGGGCGUAAAGCGCGCGUAGGCGGCUAUUUAAGUCAGAUGUGAAAGUCCACGGCUCAAC
This 593-nucleotide ribosomal RNA is filed under the name uncultured Desulforhopalus sp. Its description in RNAcentral is "bacterial SSU rRNA". It matches the Rfam family "Bacterial small subunit ribosomal RNA", at positions 36 to 613 of the family's 1533-position model. Lineage: Bacteria; Pseudomonadati; Thermodesulfobacteriota; Desulfobulbia; Desulfobulbales; Desulfocapsaceae. The record is from RNAcentral.